GGAGAGGUGGCAGAGUUGGUCGAUUGCGUCUGACUUGAAAUCAGAUAAAUCAGCAAUGGUUUCGAGGGUUCGAAUCCCUCCCUCUCCU
This 88-nucleotide transfer RNA is filed under the name Glaucocystis sp. BBH. RNAcentral describes it as "tRNA-Ser". It matches the Rfam family "tRNA". Rfam says of the family: Transfer RNA (tRNA) molecules are approximately 80 nucleotides in length. Their secondary structure includes four short double-helical elements and three loops (D, anti-codon, and T loops). Lineage: Eukaryota; Glaucocystophyceae; Glaucocystales; Glaucocystaceae. The record is from RNAcentral.